ACCAUCUAAGAAAACACAUCGUUGUCAGCUAUCUAAUGUGACAGGUACCAUGUAAUAUGUUAUUAUAGUGCUUUGUGCCUCAAUCUUUGUUUCUACCAAACAUGAGCCCGAAUUUGUGGUCCUGCACACUAUGCUCCUUUUCACGUCGUACUCCACGCAUCCGUUUUUGAUGCUUCUUUGAAACAGAUCUGACUGUUCCUGUUAAUAUGCCUUCCUUUUCCUCACAACCAACUGCUCCCUUUGUAUAUACACUCAAAGGUAUACUUCGAAUUCUCUGUAUCAACUAUCUAUUUCCCGUGGACUCUUUCUCUCCGAUUUUUAUCGUUUUUGUUCUUCUGUUAGAUGGCCCCGAUCGACACGAGGUGUCAAGUCCUCAGGCUACGGAAUCCCGCCGUAGACGAAAACGGAAAUUAGAUCAACGACUUUUUGCACAGUCAGGUCGUGCCUUCUCCCUGUUACACUACUGUGUGUUGCUUCCUGUGCCACGUGGUAUUUGGUUCUACGUGGUUCUGUGUUGCUUCUUUGACACAUCUUUCCACGCGUGUGAUCAGGCAAACUUUAUCUUAAGGCAACAAAUCGUGGGUGUGGCCAAUUUACGCAAUCCUUCAUAGAUGCACUCAAGGGUACAUUUUUGCUCCGCCAUUCUAGUCCUUUCUAGACCUAUGUACCCAUCCUAUUUCUUCGAUAGCGUUUUCCCGGUAUCGACUGUGUAUUGCUAUUCUUAAGUACCCUCUUCUUGCUUCGCAGCAUCUCAUCCAGGAAGAUCUUAUUAUGGGCCGCCGGAGUAUAGAUGUCCCCAUUGCCAUGCUAUUUUUUGGCAUCAGGAGAGCAUAAAAUGUG
This 840-nucleotide long non-coding RNA is filed under the name Sorghum bicolor (sorghum). Its description in RNAcentral is "long non-coding RNA (SBIC_LNC007335)". The record is from RNAcentral. Lineage: Eukaryota; Viridiplantae; Streptophyta; Magnoliopsida; Poales; Poaceae.